This 253-nucleotide ribosomal RNA is filed under the name uncultured bacterium. RNAcentral's name for it is "partial 16S ribosomal RNA". It matches the Rfam family "Bacterial small subunit ribosomal RNA", at positions 524 to 776 of the family's 1533-position model. The record is from RNAcentral.
AACGUAGGUUCCGAGCGUUAUCCGGAUUUACUGGGCGUAAAGCGCGUUCAGGCGGUUUGACAAGUCGGGCAUGAAAUCUCUCGGCUCAACCGGGAGAGGUUGUCCGAUACUGUCAGACUUGAGGGCAGUAGAGGGUGGUGGAAUUCCGGGUGUAGUGGUGAAAUGCGUAGAUAUCCGGAGGAACACCAGUGGCGAAGGCGGGUCUCUGGGCCGAUACUGACGCUGAGGAGCGAAAGCGUGGGGAGCGAACAGG